This 135-nucleotide small nucleolar RNA is filed under the name Dasypus novemcinctus (nine-banded armadillo). Its description in RNAcentral is "Small nucleolar RNA SNORA13 (ENSDNOG00000042485.1)". It matches the Rfam family "Small nucleolar RNA SNORA13". Rfam says of the family: ACA13 is a member of the H/ACA class of snoRNA that guide the sites of modification of uridines to pseudouridines. The record is from RNAcentral. Lineage: Eukaryota; Metazoa; Chordata; Mammalia; Cingulata; Dasypodidae.
GGCCUUUGUGUUGCCCAUUCACUUUUGGAAACUAGUGAAUGUGGUGUCAAAAAAGGCAUAAAUUAAACCCUUCUGCAGCCUAUUCCUGCCCUUGAAUUUAUUGUGUUUGGUGUAGGAACUGCAUAGGUAACAGUU